GAAAUAGCAGAAAUACUGCUUACCCAUGAGGCUGCAUUCCAAGUGGAUUUAAACCUGGAAUACAAAGUCUUAGCAAGGGGUCAUUUCUGAUGUAGGAGUGGGCAAGCAGCUGACCAAAAACGUGUGGCCCAGGGAAGCUGUGGAAAAGCACUGGAAGACAAGCAGGUCAGGGUGCAGUGUUGACUAUUGCAAUAUGCUGCAGUCAUACCAAACAACCCAAACCAAAGCAAAGGCCAACAAGAAGUCA
This 247-nucleotide long non-coding RNA is filed under the name Gallus gallus (chicken). The record is from RNAcentral. Lineage: Eukaryota; Metazoa; Chordata; Aves; Galliformes; Phasianidae.